GCACCUGAAGGAGGGAAGAAGAGAACAACCCUGGACUAUAAAUACACCAGCCUCAGAGCUUUGCAGUCCUGCUCUUGUCUGCGCUGUGUUCAGUGAGAUGACGGAUUACAGUAUAGUGUUAUUUGUGUUGUACAAUAAAGCUUAAAAUACCAAAAAUAAUAACAGAGACAUACCUGUGUUUUUGCUCAAGCGUAUAAAUAGAGCAGCAUUUGCCAGAAUAACAUUUUAAACUUGGCAUUCUUUUAAACCAGAAGCGGAUAAUGGUUCUUUUUACUCUGCAAGCAGCUGAUUUUGCAGUUGAUUUGACACAAAAACCAGGCAUCCAGUUUGCCGGAUGGAGAUGUUUGAUGGGAAAUUUACGAAUCCAGGAUUCGUGGAAAUAAGAGACGCAGCUCAAAACUGGGGCGUGACAUCACAGCUGUGAUGUGAUUCCCUGCAACGGCUAUCUGUCAGAUCCACACGAGUCAGUCCUUUCAAUGAAAAAUCUCAGCCUGCAUCCUAUUCAGAGACGGAGUGGGAGGAGAGCAGACAGACAAAGAGGAAAGACCCGAGCCAACGCGUCAAUAGCUCACUGCCUACAAUGGUAGUUAAAGCGAGGAAACACUCAUCCAAUCCGCUUGGCCCUUUCUCGUGAGUGACUCAUCUUGAAUAUCGUAACGCCUUCUCUCAUCUAGACUAUAAAAGAAAUAAGAGAGAGAGAAGCGCUGAACGUUAGAAGUUGUAUUAAAAGCUAUGAUGUAUGACAGCUUUUAUUUCCCCUUUUAUUUUCUCUCCUCUCUGUAUCGCCUGAUCGAAUGCAGGCCGGAGCAUUUUUCACACAUUCCGGGUUAGUCAAACACGUUUGAGCAUCAUCCUGGCAGCUGAGCUUGAGGCAACGACAAUCCACGAACCCGCAGGUAUUCAAAAGCCGGCGAUGAGUGCGGGCCAUCUGGCAAAAAACUCCAUGCCUUCUGCUUCAGUGAUGGCUUGUGAUUGCCUCAAGAUCACCGAUUGUUCUCUGCAGAGCUGGUCGAUGGCAUCUGAAAGUGUCAGACAGAAGUGUGUGUCAAAUUUAGGACAACAUGAAAAUAAAAACUAGAAUAAAAUGUAAUCAGUAAGCUGUAUGAGCAAAUCCCUAAAUGAGGAUUGUUUGCUAAUUGUGCUGUUGUCACAAUGAUGACGAAAAAUCUCAGUAAUACUUUGACACAAAGCUUCACUUUAACGCGUCUCUACUGAGCUGUUUGAAUCCUAACUUGUGCCGGAAGGUGCAAUCAGUAAUCAGUGAAGCAUUUUAUCCGUUCUUUACACAAAUUGACCAUAAUUUAUGAGCAUGUGAGUGUUGCUCAUCAGGUUUAAUCAAAUGUUGAGUUUCUUCUGAGAAUUCCGGCUCGGCAGACUCUUUGGUUUUAAUGAGAUCUUUUCACGUGGAUGGAAUUCAGACUUCUUGCACAGUAUUAAAUCUUUUGUCAGCGUAUGUGAACAGAUACAGAUGUUAUUAGUUUGAUAUUAUGGUAGUUGGACAUUCUUUAUGGAAUUACAACACCAACGCCAUUUGUCAAUCACCUACAUAUUACCAGAACUGCAUUUUCUGUUAUUUUAUAUAAAAAAACAAAAAAAACAUAAUUUAAGUACUUAUGUUUGUUCAAAAUCAAAUACUUAUAUAAAAAAAACAAAAAAAGUAUUCCCUUCCUCAGUGUCACUGCCUAACUUAAAUGGUAAGUCAAGUUUUAUUAGUAAAUACUUGAAGGACACCCUCUAAUUAACAGAAAAAAAUGUGCACAUUCAUUUUUUUCAAUUGAUUUUAGCACCCUUGCAAAUCAAUCGCACUGUAAAACAUUAACACAAUUCCACAUCCACAUUCAUGCACAAAAUAGUGUUCUUUUGUAUUAUUGAUUAUCUGCUGUCCUUGCAAACCUCACUUCCUAAUGGUUGUGUCGAGCAGCAGGUGAGGAAGAAUCGAGCAAAAGAUAUUCCUCUCUUCAUCUAAUUGAAUCUCACCUUUCACUAGAAACCUGUGGCUGUCAGCCCAAGGUUGAGGCAGUGUUGAUGUUGCCCCCUCUGCUCGCUCUCACUCCCUACAUUUCCUCCCUAUGAAUUAUUCACGUGCACUGUCACAGCUGAAAAGAGGCCAGCGUGGGAGGAGAUAAACCCAACCUCUUAGAUCAAGCUCCUGUUUAAAAAGCGUUCCUCACAAAAGCACUUUCGUCCACGGCGAUUCCGCUUUCAUUGGGUGUAUUUUGUGUUUUAUUAUCAUAUUUGAAAUGCAGCUGUGAAUGACACGCUGCCCGGUUACGCCCACACUAGUCAUGACUUCUCUAAAAAUCUUCCAUCAAUUUCUCCAUCAUGUCACUGCUCCUCCAACUGUAGCCAACACGAUGGACCUAAUUCCCUCGCUCGUUUUCCCCACCUACCAUGGAGACAGCCAUUCGACUGAAUUGAUUUUUCCACAUUGCCUUGUAGGGAAGAGACCUUCUAAAAAGAGUAGAAUACUUAAACUGGAAAUGUUGAUUGCAUAAAAUACAUAUUGGAUUCAGCAACGCAGCUCAGAGGUGGGCAACCGAAGCAUCCAGUUUCUUUCUUGAAAAAAAAGCCUUUAAAAUAAAUUGCAAAUCUAAACCACAAACUGCACUAAAUUGAAAGGAACUGACAGAAAGAGAGAGAGAGAGAGAGAGACGGAUUUACGCUAACAGCAAAAGUACUUACUGACCUUGCGCUUCUUAUUCUGCUUUUAUCACUUUCUGCCGCUCCCUCUCUCUGGUUUUCUUUCACUAACGAUUUCUUUCCCCUCUGCUGAAAAUGGAAGAAGUGCAGGAAAAUGGCUUGAUGAAUAGAUCGAGGCUGAAAGGGAGGUGAGAAGGUACAGGAAGAAGUUGUUGUUCCAUAACGCCACAGAGACGGGAGGAUUUUGAUGAAAAAAUGAGGAAAAGGAGGCGAUGGAACAGGAGACCGGGCGGCAGAAAGGAUUCAGAAGGAUUGUUGAUGGAAGAAAGUUUGCUUAGUGGAGCGUGAUUAGACCCUUCAAACUGCAGACACAAGAAUUCCACAGUCAAGGGCAACAGUGCAGAGGGCUUCUCCUCGCUGUGGGACGCCGUGGGACACCGUGGGACGUGAAUACAGAACUAACCCUCUGCUUGUAAAAAUGCUUGUUACAUUUUCAUAAGCAUUCAUGAGAUGUUGCAGACUGGAAUUCAAUCAGGGCCCCUGAGAGGACGACAAAACAUGACCGUCAACAUGUUUUCGCAAAAAAAGCUUUUGCUACUUACAGUGAGCCAAAGGCAACACAUUAGUAAAAUAGUUCUAACACUAACAUAACUAACACUAAUAGUGCUAGCGCUAACUAACACUAACAUGUUUCCAGAAAAGCACAAUAAAAAAUAAAUCUAUAAACAUCUGUUUUCACAUCAUCUGGCUGUCUACAAUAGGGUUAUGUGUCUAAAGGCUAAAGUCUAAAGGCUUUUUAUUAUAUUCAAUCGGUAUCAUGCAGAGCAAUGCCGUCCUCACGAGGACCACUACGUAGGUGCGUUUGAGUUCAGGUGAUUAGAUAAAUGUACUAAACCAAAUAACUUAGUAAGAAGUAAGAAUGUUGCUUGCGUUCUCAGCACACGUGCAUCCUUCAGGUGUGAGCUUGUUUCUGUGUGUAAUCAUGUUCUCAUCACAGCAAGUGGCGCCUAUCUUUAGCAAAGCGUCCCACUGAGUGGCCUUUGAAUACUUCUUUAGCACUGGCACGGCAAAGCAGAAUAACCCGGGAAGAAGUUGUUUUUGUGUGUUGUGGACAAAUUAAGCGACACGGCAUGAAAAACUAAAUGUCUUGUUUGUUGUCAACUUGCUUUUACAUUUAAUUUUAGAUCAUGUAUUCAAACACCACUUGUAGCAUUGAGGUUAAUGAGGAAAUCACAUUUCUAAAGCGUUCCGGGUUACUUGAAUUAGUACCAGAAUGAAAAGAAGAACACAAAGUACAUCACAGCCGCAGCACACUGAACCCCCAUACUGACUUCAAUCAGUUCUACAUUAAUAUAUACGAUUAACUUGAUUUCAUUGUCUCUAUACGAUAGGCUUCACGCCAAAGUAGAAAAUGAUAAUGAUCAGAGUGUCGCUUCCUUUGGCACGUCGACGUGUUAGGACUUAAAUGAAAAGACUGGUUGAUUGACACGUAACUUCAUUAUCAUCCCCGUCGAGUUGAAAUCAUCUUGUCGCAAAGAAACACCCAGAUUUAUAGUGCUGCGUCAACUGCAAUAUCUCUAUACAGAGAGAUAAUAGUAAAGGUGUGAAAAACAAAAGGAAGAUUUUUUGUUUUUUCCUGAUAGCUGUGUGAAUAUACCUUUAUUCCCCAUUUGUCUAAAACCCUUUGUUUUUAAGUGCAUAUUUUGUCUGUAGGCUCAAAUUUGUGCACACAAGCGCUGAAGAGUUGUCAUGAUGUCUCCUUUAAAUCACAGUGAAAUAAAAAUAGAGGUAAUACAAACUCAUUUAAAGAAACACUGCAAAUUAGCCAAUAGAACGUUGCCUCGGUUCGGUGGCUACAGCGUGAUGAACGCCAUGCAGUGUGUUCUCAUGUACAGAUUGCAUUUACACAAACUGUCGCCUCAGGGCAGAAAUUACACACAUAGAACUCACACCCAAAAUAGACCAGAGAUCAGAUUUUAUUCUUUCCAAAGGAAAAAAAUCCAGCUCUCAACUCAAACAAGAAUCUGUCAAACAAUACAUUGUAAAAGCGCACUGCUUUUCUCCAUUAUUUACAAGUGUGUAUGAAAUUAGGGAAACUUCGAUAAUGGGCAAACAGAAGAGAAAAGAAAGAGCAAAACAGACUGUGAUUAGGUGCAGACCUGAGGAAAAGGAGAGACAUUAUCAAUAUGUCAUCUACCAUUGAGAGACAAAUCACAGGUAAUGUUGUAUUGAGUUUCACAUUUUGCGGCUCAUUUGAUGCACUUCAUUGGUCACAAUCAAGUUAUUUAGACUCAAUGCAGGUUUACUCAACGCCCUGUAAAUAGAUUCCACCACAACGUAACUGUGUUGAAAGUUGUGUAGUUUUGUGUUUAAAAUAACAUUUAAACAACUGUGUCUAAAAUACACACUUUCUAAAGUAAUUACUCAUUACUUACAACAUCGUAACAGUGACGCAGAAUGAAGGUUGCUUAGAAACGUUAAUUAGAUCAUUUCCAAAUACAGCUUCUCAUAUGUGUUCAGCUUCAAUGCUGCUGGGAAUGAAUUGUUGCUUUUAAAAUCAUAUUUUUCCAGUUGGAAGAUGAUCGGAACAUCUCAAGACUUGUUCAAUGAACCUUUACAUACUGUACAUACUCUAAUACUAAUACUCUAACACUAAUAUGUUACUGCCAAACGUAAGUAAUGGGUUUAAAUGCAAUGCAGAAAUAAAAAAUGUAGUUGUCUGAAGCUGCAUUUAAGUAUUUGUUGUCAAUGCUUUGUUCACGUGGCACAAUAAUGUAAUGUUAUGACUUUGUUUGAGGCUUUUAACUAACUAAUAACUAACAGUUAUUCACGUAUAUGCGUGAUGGCCUGUCUUUAAAUCAGCAUAUGCAUUUCUGGCAGCCUUUUAAGUUCUCCAUUUUGACACCACAUGGAUGUUCUCUGCAGACCAAGACGAACAGCUAACAAGAUAAUCUGUGAGAGUCCUCAGGUGAUGGCGAUUCUUCCAAGCAGUAGAAAGGAUUGCAAGAUAACUGUAGCUUAUUGCAGAAUCCAAAGGGCAUUUUGACUACUGCUGUUCCCUCCACUUUACUCACUGAUAUAAAAACAUGACGGAAAUUUAUUGCAACGGAAACUGCAAUUGCAUGCAAACAUAGAGAUCCUUAAGUUUAAAUAACAGCUCCUUGUUCAGGCACACAACACCACGAUGCCCUGUUCUUCAUCACAUAGCUCUGGUGAUCUACGUUGAAUAGAUGGUACAUCUGCUUUGUACAUCAGUAUUUACACAGCUUCCCUGGAGGGUUUGGGGUUUUAAGCUGACACCAGCGCCUCUUCACUUAGAGAGAUAACAUGCCGCUGCCUUCCUAAAGAUAAAGACCGGCCGGCUUCCACUUGGUAACGUCCUUGCUUGAAGCCUUGAUGCAUGACUUGUACGUGUUUCAACUCUGCUUCUACUUGCAAGUAUUUGAGGAAAUGUCCUGUUUAAUGAUUUUACAACCGGUGUCGAGUAAAAAAUAAAAAUAAAAAAUAGGCCCUUUGAGCCGGAUUUUUCUAGCACCACACAUUUAGCAUUUGAAUUGCCAAGUACACGCUGGGACAGGAUUCAAUAAGGCAUCAAUAACUGAUGCAGCAGGGUGGGUGCAGGUACAUGGAUGUUGAACCACCUGCAGGAGCUUCCACAGCAAAUAGAGGAGGAGUCUGCAGCUGAAAAAAAGGGAGCGGAUCUCAAUCCAACCAUCUGAAAGAAAAGUCCCCAACUCCACAUGGGGGAAGAAGAAGAGAACUGCACAGCGCGAAUCAAGCAGGAGUAUAACAACGGGGCUGCAAGGUAUGAGUCAGAAAAACAACAAGUCUCUGACCAAAAUGCGUUGAAAGUAAAGUGCAGAUGAGCUACAGAUCGAGCACCGGAAUCGAAAACCAACGAAGAUGCCAAACUCCUCCACAGCGAGGCUGGAAACAAAGAGGGGCAGAAAGGAGCCAAACAGGAGGAGGACAUGAAGAACGACCUGUGGGGGACAUGUGUCUUCAAAUAAAGAAGAAAAGGAGGGGCUCGUGGUUUCCCAGAGCGUUAGUGCAAUCCUAAAGAACUGCAUGAGAAGGCGAUGAAGAGAAAAAAAAGAAAAUCCGGAGAAGACCGAGAUAAGUGAUGUGUUAUUGACAGAAAACCGGAGGUGGCUGCCGGCUGGUAAUCUCCACCCUCCCUCCACCCCCACCCUCUGAGAAACAACUGACUUCUCAUGUAAUGAAAUGUUUGAGGAAUAGUCUAAAUAACAUGAGUAUUAUUUAACCAGAGCAAAAUGUGUGAAAAAGUUUUUGUUUCAAAACUCAUUAAAUAAUAAAUCAAGUGACUAUGGUAUAAGCACAUUUAUUUAUACAUUACAAUUUGAAGAUAAGUGAAAAGCUACUGUGAAAAAGAGAACAUCAUAUAUCAAAUAAAGAUACUGUGAAUGCGAUAAUAGCUUCACUUCAGGUUUAAGAUAAUACUUAAAAAUACUAAAAGAAGUACUUGCCUUACUGAUGCAGUUGUGUACUUUUGCCAUAAGGCCGUAAACUGCCUCUGAAAAAGGACCUUACAUCCUGCAAGUGGAAUUUCUGCUGCAGACUAAUUCAUCCGCUCAGUACUGGUUCUGCAUGUUUGGGGGUUGUAACCGGAAUGCAGAGUGGAAGACAAUUCACCUCUUAAUUUCUCUCAACAGGUCCGUGAGUGACAGCAGUCAACUGGCCUCUCCAGACACCCACCUACAAAAAAGAAUUGAUUUUCCCAACGUUUGUCGCGUGUCCGUUGCGCUCACUGUUCCCAGCUGAAAGAGAAACCUGCCGAGUAUUUGCAGAUACUCUACCGAGGCUCCUUCUGUUAAGACCCUGUCGAGGAGGGAAGGCCGGCAGCCUCCGUGCGGCUUCCAGACGCUCAGGGCCGUGGUCCAACCCAGGUGAACCCGCUUGCCCGUUUAACAGCGCUUUUUCUGGUUCAAACAUCAAAGCUCCCAAUCCAGCAGAGAGCUUUCAUCGUCCAGUCGGAGAGGCUUGAGUGCGGCGAUGCAAACCUUUUAAUCCUUUGAACUUAUGCAGUUCACUGGGUUCACCUGCCGACCCGGUGGAUAUUUGCCGUCGUUCCAAUGGCUUCGGCUUCCAAUGCAUGUCAAGUUGUAAAAAAAUCAAUGAGACAUCAGCCAUCAUUUGCAUCUUUGUUCUUGUUGUAUUUAAACUGAAAGUUGUUGAGAAUUAUUGAAUGGUUUGCAAUGCAAUUUGGUACAAACAUUUAAUGUUUUUUUAGGAAAUCAUUUUGGUUAUUCCCAUGACUAACUCUUGUUAUAAUUGGAUUCUAUAUAUUUUCUUCUACGGGGAUAUUGACCUUAUACGGGCAACUCCCACAUUUAUAUUUAUAAUUCUAAAUAUGUCUACAAUUACAUAUGAAUCGCUGAGUUCGUCAAACUGUUUCACCAUCAGCAUAGAGAGUGAAGGAAAGAGUAGAGCUGAGAGUUCUUCUUACAAAAAAAUCAGUCAACAUAACAAGAUGCAUUAAAUAUUUAAAGUUCAGCAGAUAUUCCAGGAGACCUUUGCUAUUUUUAAGACGUAUAAACCACAACAAUUUACAACACAAUCAACUGAAAGGAAAAUUGAAGCUGCCCCUCUCAAUUAAUGUCACGUUUCAACAGCUUUUUAUAGUACAGCUGUCAUAUUAUGACAUGCAAUUUCUAUAAAAUGCUGAUCAAGAUAAUUAAACACCAUCACUUUAAAUUUUUUUGAAGCCUGACGUUUUAUGCCGGGUGUCUUUUUUAUGAAUAUGAAGUUAUAAGUUGUUUUAAAUGAUUAUUAAAUAAUUGUAUUAAUGUG
Gasterosteus aculeatus aculeatus (three-spined stickleback) is the source of this 8451-nucleotide non-coding RNA. Lineage: Eukaryota; Metazoa; Chordata; Actinopteri; Perciformes; Gasterosteidae. The record is from RefSeq and is a predicted model, not a curated record.